GCGCUCCUCCUAGCAAAGCCCCGGCCCCAGCGAUUGUCUUUUCUUAUUGGUCCAACUCGUGAUCCGAACCCCCAGUCACUGGCUUUCUUGCGGGUCAGUCACUGAGCCAAUUUCCAAGUCCGUCACACCGGCUUUUUUCAAAUGAACGCGCAAAAGGCGGGGAAGUAUCUGGAAAGCGAUUGGUUCGUCCUAGAAAACGGUCAAACCCGGAGAGUCUGUACGGAUCCUUUCCGUUCUGUGAGGACCGUGCCCCCUUGUAUUUGACCUCUAAGCCUCGCGUAAAAGAAGCGCCAUAAGGGACCAACGAGCAGUCCAGCUAUAGGUGUGGACGCCUGGUCCCACCCGGAAUUGCAGGGGCUUGGCUACUGAUUGGCUAAGAAAGUCCUCCUAGGCCCUCAUUGGAGGAUCUAAACGCCUCUCUUCGGCGUGGAGACGGGAAGGGACGACUCAGACGAGGACAAGAAGUGGGCAGGGGAGAGGCGGUUGUUUUGCUUCAGCCGCGGGUGGGGCGCAGGCGAGAGUGGGAAACUGGGAAGGCCGGGCUCUGGGGAGGUGUUGCGGGGAGGGGAAAGGCCCGGAUGUUCCCUAACAAUGAAAUCAUCGCCGACCUAUCAGAGCCGCCGAGCUGGGAUACCUGCCUGACCUGUACCCCGGAGGGAGAAGAGUGGGCGGGAAAUUGGGGUGUCGGAAGAACCUGGAAAGCAACGUGAGAAAGUGGGACAGGUGUUCCCUUCAGGAGGAUUUUGUGCUAUUAGAGAUUAUUUUUAUACCAGCCCUUGACAUUUCCGUAUUUUGUUUCUCAGUCGGCAUUGAUAUUAAAACUCCCAGCCUAGUCUCUUGACAUGGACUUGUUCAUUUCGCAGUUAUUGAGCGCCUACUGUUUGCCAGGUACUGUAUGUAGAACUGGAGAUACAAAAAUAAAUUAGGCAAUCGCAGUACAAGAUGAUAGGUACUACAAUUGAAACAUGCACAAGGGCUGGUGACGACAUAAAGGGUCUUCCUUGUGCAUAGGUUUACCAAGAAAGGCUUCACAAAGACACAGGAUGAGUCAAGAAUGAAUGAUAGGGGUUUAACAGGCCGAUGGGGAAAGUGGACAUGACUCCUCCAGCUAUCAAAUUAGACGAUGCUGCCAUGUUAAUUCUCCAAACGAGAAACAAAAGUGUAAUAGAGGAUGUGAUGCUUGCAGCUAUGACAGCCAUUUGUGACCAUGAAGGGACCAAACUAGAGGACAAAGAGCAAGUCACUAUGCAUGAAAGAGUGAAAAUGUGGAAAGGACCUUCACCAUUGAUGAUACUGUCAAGCUAUUGAAUUAAACAACCUUGGAACCACUCUA
This 1333-nucleotide long non-coding RNA is filed under the name Homo sapiens (human). RNAcentral describes it as "HSALNT0302148". Lineage: Eukaryota; Metazoa; Chordata; Mammalia; Primates; Hominidae. The record is from RNAcentral.